CAAUAGCGUAUAUUUAAGUUGCUGCAGUUAAAAAGCUCGUAGUUGGAUUUCGGGUGGAAAUGGCCGGUCCGCCGUUUCGGUGUGCACUUGCUACGCCCACCUUGCUGCCGGGGACGUGCUCUUGAGUUCACGCUCGGGACACGGAGUCGGCGAGGUUACUUUGAGUAAAUUAGAGUGUUCAAAGCAGGCCUACGCUCUGAAUACAUUAGCAUGGAAUAACACGAUAGGACUCUGGCCUAUCUUGUUGGUCUGUAGGACCGGAGUAAUGAUUAAGAGGGACAGUCGGGGGCAUUCGUAUUUCAUUGUCAGAGGUGAAAUUCUUGGAUUUAUGAAAGACGAACUACUGCGAAAGCAUUCGCCAAGGAUGUUUUCAUUAA
Molecule: ribosomal RNA, 377 nt
Filed under: uncultured eukaryote
Lineage: Eukaryota
Description: partial 18S ribosomal RNA
Rfam family: Eukaryotic small subunit ribosomal RNA
Source: RNAcentral